This 325-nucleotide ribosomal RNA is filed under the name uncultured eukaryote. RNAcentral's name for it is "partial 18S ribosomal RNA". It matches the Rfam family "Eukaryotic small subunit ribosomal RNA", at positions 1470 to 1796 of the family's 1831-position model. The record is from RNAcentral.
CCCUUAGAUGUUCUGGGCCGCACGCGCGCUACACUGAUGCAUUCAACGAGUCUACAACCUGGUCUGAUAGGGCUGGGUAAUCUUUUGAAUGUGCAUCGUGAUUGGGAUAGAUGAUUGCAAUUCUUCAUCUUCAACGAGGAAUGCCUAGUAAACGCAAGUCAUCAGCUUGCAUUGAUUACGUCCCUGCCCUUUGUACACACCACCCGUCGCUCCUACCGAUUGAAUGCUCAGGUGAGCCAUUCGGACUUUCAUCAUGCUGGUUUCCAGUUUUGAUGAAGGAAAGUCUUGCGAACCUUAUCAUUUAGAGGAAGGAGAAGUCGUAACA